RNAcentral lists this ribosomal RNA (2930 nucleotides) under Escherichia coli. Its description in RNAcentral is "bacterial LSU rRNA". It matches the Rfam family "Bacterial large subunit ribosomal RNA". The record is from RNAcentral. Lineage: Bacteria; Pseudomonadati; Pseudomonadota; Gammaproteobacteria; Enterobacterales; Enterobacteriaceae.
GGGUUGUGAGGUUAAGCGACUAAGCGUACACGGUGGAUGCCCUGGCAGUCAGAGGCGAUGAAGGACGUGCUAAUCUGCGAUAAGCGUCGGUAAGGUGAUAUGAACCGUUAUAACCGGCGAUUUCCGAAUGGGGAAACCCAGUGUGUUUCGACACACUAUCAUUAACUGAAUCCAUAGGUUAAUGAGGCGAACCGGGGGAACUGAAACAUCUAAGUACCCCGAGGAAAAGAAAUCAACCGAGAUUCCCCCAGUAGCGGCGAGCGAACGGGGAGCAGCCCAGAGCCUGAAUCAGUGUGUGUGUUAGUGGAAGCGUCUGGAAAGGCGCGCGAUACAGGGUGACAGCCCCGUACACAAAAAUGCACAUGCUGUGAGCUCGAUGAGUAGGGCGGGACACGUGGUAUCCUGUCUGAAUAUGGGGGGACCAUCCUCCAAGGCUAAAUACUCCUGACUGACCGAUAGUGAACCAGUACCGUGAGGGAAAGGCGAAAAGAACCCCGGCGAGGGGAGUGAAAAAGAACCUGAAACCGUGUACGUACAAGCAGUGGGAGCACGCUUAGGCGUGUGACUGCGUACCUUUUGUAUAAUGGGUCAGCGACUUAUAUUCUGUAGCAAGGUUAACCGAAUAGGGGAGCCGAAGGGAAACCGAGUCUUAACUGGGCGUUAAGUUGCAGGGUAUAGACCCGAAACCCGGUGAUCUAGCCAUGGGCAGGUUGAAGGUUGGGUAACACUAACUGGAGGACCGAACCGACUAAUGUUGAAAAAUUAGCGGAUGACUUGUGGCUGGGGGUGAAAGGCCAAUCAAACCGGGAGAUAGCUGGUUCUCCCCGAAAGCUAUUUAGGUAGCGCCUCGUGAAUUCAUCUCCGGGGGUAGAGCACUGUUUCGGCAAGGGGGUCAUCCCGACUUACCAACCCGAUGCAAACUGCGAAUACCGGAGAAUGUUAUCACGGGAGACACACGGCGGGUGCUAACGUCCGUCGUGAAGAGGGAAACAACCCAGACCGCCAGCUAAGGUCCCAAAGUCAUGGUUAAGUGGGAAACGAUGUGGGAAGGCCCAGACAGCCAGGAUGUUGGCUUAGAAGCAGCCAUCAUUUAAAGAAAGCGUAAUAGCUCACUGGUCGAGUCGGCCUGCGCGGAAGAUGUAACGGGGCUAAACCAUGCACCGAAGCUGCGGCAGCGACGCUUAUGCGUUGUUGGGUAGGGGAGCGUUCUGUAAGCCUGCGAAGGUGUGCUGUGAGGCAUGCUGGAGGUAUCAGAAGUGCGAAUGCUGACAUAAGUAACGAUAAAGCGGGUGAAAAGCCCGCUCGCCGGAAGACCAAGGGUUCCUGUCCAACGUUAAUCGGGGCAGGGUGAGUCGACCCCUAAGGCGAGGCCGAAAGGCGUAGUCGAUGGGAAACAGGUUAAUAUUCCUGUACUUGGUGUUACUGCGAAGGGGGGACGGAGAAGGCUAUGUUGGCCGGGCGACGGUUGUCCCGGUUUAAGCGUGUAGGCUGGUUUUCCAGGCAAAUCCGGAAAAUCAAGGCUGAGGCGUGAUGACGAGGCACUACGGUGCUGAAGCAACAAAUGCCCUGCUUCCAGGAAAAGCCUCUAAGCAUCAGGUAACAUCAAAUCGUACCCCAAACCGACACAGGUGGUCAGGUAGAGAAUACCAAGGCGCUUGAGAGAACUCGGGUGAAGGAACUAGGCAAAAUGGUGCCGUAACUUCGGGAGAAGGCACGCUGAUAUGUAGGUGAAGUCCCUUGCGGAUGGAGCUGAAAUCAGUCGAAGAUACCAGCUGGCUGCAACUGUUUAUUAAAAACACAGCACUGUGCAAACACGAAAGUGGACGUAUACGGUGUGACGCCUGCCCGGUGCCGGAAGGUUAAUUGAUGGGGUCAGCGCAAGCGAAGCUCUUGAUCGAAGCCCCGGUAAACGGCGGCCGUAACUAUAACGGUCCUAAGGUAGCGAAAUUCCUUGUCGGGUAAGUUCCGACCUGCACGAAUGGCGUAAUGAUGGCCAGGCUGUCUCCACCCGAGACUCAGUGAAAUUGAACUCGCUGUGAAGAUGCAGUGUACCCGCGGCAAGACGGAAAGACCCCGUGAACCUUUACUAUAGCUUGACACUGAACAUUGAGCCUUGAUGUGUAGGAUAGGUGGGAGGCUUGGAAGUGUGGACGCCAGUCUGCAUGGAGCCGACCUUGAAAUACCACCCUUUAAUGUUUGAUGUUCUAACGUUGACCCGUAAUCCGGGUUGCGGACAGUGUCUGGUGGGUAGUUUGACUGGGGCGGUCUCCUCCUAAAGAGUAACGGAGGAGCACGAAGGUUGGCUAAUCCUGGUCGGACAUCAGGAGGUUAGUGCAAUGGCAUAAGCCAGCUUGACUGCGAGCGUGACGGCGCGAGCAGGUGCGAAAGCAGGUCAUAGUGAUCCGGUGGUUCUGAAUGGAAGGGCCAUCGCUCAACGGAUAAAAGGUACUCCGGGGAUAACAGGCUGAUACCGCCCAAGAGUUCAUAUCGACGGCGGUGUUUGGCACCUCGAUGUCGGCUCAUCACAUCCUGGGGCUGAAGUAGGUCCCAAGGGUAUGGCUGUUCGCCAUUUAAAGUGGUACGCGAGCUGGGUUUAGAACGUCGUGAGACAGUUCGGUCCCUAUCUGCCGUGGGCGCUGGAGAACUGAGGGGGGCUGCUCCUAGUACGAGAGGACCGGAGUGGACGCAUCACUGGUGUUCGGGUUGUCAUGCCAAUGGCACUGCCCGGUAGCUAAAUGCGGAAGAGAUAAGUGCUGAAAGCAUCUAAGCACGAAACUUGCCCCGAGAUGAGUUCUCCCUGACCCUUUAAGGGUCCUGAAGGAACGUUGAAGACGACGACGUUGAUAGGCCGGGUGUGUAAGCGCAGCGAUGCGUUGAGCUAACCGGUACUAAUGAACCGUGAGGCUUAACCUUACAACGCCGAAGCUGUU